Molecule: ribosomal RNA, 586 nt
Filed under: Salmonella enterica
Lineage: Bacteria; Pseudomonadati; Pseudomonadota; Gammaproteobacteria; Enterobacterales; Enterobacteriaceae
Description: partial 23S ribosomal RNA
Rfam family: Bacterial large subunit ribosomal RNA
Source: RNAcentral
GGGUUGUGAGGUUAAGCGACCAAGCGUACACGGUGGAUGCCCUGGCAGUCAGAGGCGAUGAAGGACGUGCUAAUCUGCGAAAAGCGCCGGUAAGGUGAUAUGAACCGUUAUAACCGGCGAUGUCCGAAUGGGGAAACCCAGUGUGACUCGUCACACUAUCAUUAACUGAAUCCAUAGGUUAAUGAGGCGAACCGGGGGAACUGAAACAUCUAAGUACCCCGAGGAAAAGAAAUCAACCGAGAUUCCCCCAGUAGCGGCGAGCGAACGGGGAGGAGCCCAGAGCCUGAAUCAGCAUGUGUGUUAGUGGAAGCGUCUGGAAAGGCGCGCGAUACAGGGUGAGAGCCCCGUACACAAAAGCGCACAUGUUGUGAGCUCGAUGAGUAGGGCGGGACACGUGGUAUCCUGUCUGAAUAUGGGGGGACCAUCCUCCAAGGCUAAAUACUCCUGACUGACCGAUAGUGAACCAGUACCGUGAGGGAAAGGCGAAAAGAACCCCGGCGAGGGGAGUGAAACAGAACCUGAAACCGUGUACGUACAAGCAGUGGGAGCCCCACCACUAAGCCAGUGGUGAACUCCACAUACGCAU